Molecule: ribosomal RNA, 200 nt
Filed under: uncultured bacterium
Lineage: Bacteria
Description: partial 16S ribosomal RNA
Rfam family: Bacterial small subunit ribosomal RNA
Source: RNAcentral
UACGGAGGGAGCGAGCGUUAUUCGGAAUUACUGGGCGUAAAGCGUAUGUAGGCGGUUUUGUAAGACAGAUGUGAAAUCCCAGAGCUUAACUUUGGAACUGCAUUUGUGACUGCAUGACUCGAGUAUUGGAGAGGUUAGCGGAAUUCCUAGUGUAGCAGUGAAAUGCGCAGAUAUUAGGAGGAACACCGAUGGCGUAAGCA